Molecule: ribosomal RNA, 483 nt
Filed under: uncultured bacterium
Lineage: Bacteria
Description: partial 16S ribosomal RNA
Rfam family: Bacterial small subunit ribosomal RNA
Source: RNAcentral
GACGAACGCUGGCGGCGUGCUUAACACAUGCAAGUCGAACGCUGAAGCUCAGCUUUUGUUGGGUGGAUGAGUGGCGAACGGGUGAGUAACACGUGAGUAACCUGCCCCCUUCUUUGGAAUAACGCCCGGAAACGGGUGCUAAUACUGGAUAUUCACUGGUCUUCGCAUGGGGGUUGGUGGAAAGGGUUUUUCUGGUGGGGGAUGGGCUCGCGGCCUAUCAGCUUGUUGGUGGGGUGAUGGCCUACCAAGGCUUUGACGGGUAGCCGGCCUGAGAGGGUGACCGGUAACAUUGGGACUGAGAUAGGGCCCAGACUCCUACGGGAGGCAGCAGUGGGGAAUAUUGCACAAUGGGCGCAAGCCUGAUGCAGCGACGCAGCGUGAGGGAUGGAGGCCUUCGGGUUGUGAACCUCUUUCGCUCAUGGUCAAGCCGCAACAAUGGUUGUGGUGAGGGUAGUGGGUAAAGAAGCGCCGGCUAACUACGUG